RNAcentral lists this ribosomal RNA (463 nucleotides) under uncultured bacterium. Its description in RNAcentral is "bacterial SSU rRNA". It matches the Rfam family "Bacterial small subunit ribosomal RNA", at positions 917 to 1382 of the family's 1533-position model. The record is from RNAcentral.
GGGCCCGCACAAGCGGUGGAGCAUGUGGUUUAAUUCGACGCAACGCGCAGAACCUUACCAGGGUUUGACAUCCUGUGCUCGACUCCGAAAGGGGUUUUCCCCGCAAGGGGCGCAGAGACAGGUGCUGCAUGGCUGUCGUCAGCUCGUGUCGUGAGAUGUUGGGUUAAGUCCCGCAACGAGCGCAACCCUCGCCUUUAGUUGCCAUCAUUCAGUUGGGCACUCUAGAGGGACCGCCGGCGACAAGCCGGAGGAAGGUGGGGAUGACGUCAAGUCCUCAUGGCCCUUACACCCUGGGCUACACACGUGCUACAAUGGCGGUGACAGUGGGCAGCCAACUCGCGAGAGUGAGCUAAUCCCAAAAAACCGUCCCAGUUCAGAUUGCACUCUGCAACUCGGGUGCAUGAAGGUGGAAUCGCUAGUAAUCGCAGAACAGCAGGCUGCGGUGAAUACGUUCCCGGGCCUU